GAUGAACGCUAGCUACAGGCUUAACACAUGCAAGUCGAGGGGCAGCAUGAACUUAGCUUGCUAAGUUUGAUGGCGACCGGCGCACGGGUGAGUAACACGUAUCCAACCUUCCGUUUACUCAGGGGAUAGCCUUUCGAAAGAAAGAUUAAUACCUGAUAGUAUGGUGAGAUUGCAUGAUAACACCAUUAAAGAAUUUCGGUUGUCGAUGGGGAUGCGUUCCAUUAGGCAGUUGGCGGGGUAACGGCCCACCAAACCUACGAUGGAUAGGGGUUCUGAGAGGAAGGUCCCCCACAUUGGAACUGAGACACGGUCCAAACUCCUACGGGAGGCAGCAGUGAGGAAUAUUGGUCAAUGGACGAGAGUCUGAACCAGCCAAGUAGCGUGAAGGAUGACUGCCCUAUGGGUUGUGAACUUCUUUUAUACGGGAAUAAAGUUAGCCACGUGUGGUUUUUGUAUGUACCGUAUGAAUAAGGAUCGGCUAACUCCGUG
This 489-nucleotide ribosomal RNA is filed under the name uncultured bacterium. RNAcentral describes it as "bacterial SSU rRNA". It matches the Rfam family "Bacterial small subunit ribosomal RNA", at positions 28 to 507 of the family's 1533-position model. The record is from RNAcentral.